CCUACGGGUGGCAGCAGUGAGGAAUAUUGGUCAAUGGACGAGAGUCUGAACCAGCCAAGUAGCGUGAAGGAUGACUGCCCUAUGGGUUGUAAACUUCUUUUAUAUGGGAAUAAAACGUUCCACGUGUGGGAUUUUGUAUGUACCAUAUGAAUAAGGAUCGGCUAACUCCGUGCCAGCAGCCGCGGUAAUACGGAGGAUCCGAGCGUUAUCCGGAUUUAUUGGGUUUAAAGGGAGCGUAGGUGGAUUGUUAAGUCAGUUGUGAAAGUUUGCGGCUCAACCGUAAAAUUGCAGUUGAAACUGGCAGUCUUGAAUACAGUAGAGGUGGGCGGAAUUCGUGGUGUAGCGGUGAAAUGCUUAGAUAUCACGAAGAACUCCGAUUGCGAAGGCAGUUCACUGGACUGCAACUGACACUGAGGAUCGAAAGUGUGGGUAUCAAACAGGAUUAGAUACCCGUGUAGUC
This 460-nucleotide ribosomal RNA is filed under the name uncultured bacterium. RNAcentral's name for it is "partial 16S ribosomal RNA". It matches the Rfam family "Bacterial small subunit ribosomal RNA", at positions 338 to 795 of the family's 1533-position model. The record is from RNAcentral.